CAGCAGCCGCGGGAAUACGGAGGGUCCGAGCGUUAAUCGGAAUUACUGGGCGUAAAGCGUGCGCAGGCGGUUUGUUAAGCGAGAUGUGAAAGCCCUGGGCUCAACCUAGGAAUAGCAUUUCGAACUGGCGAACUAGAGUCUUGUAGAGGGGGGUAGAAUUCCAGGUGUAGCGGUGAAAUGCGUAGAGAUCUGGAGGAAUACCGGUGGCGAAGGCGGCCCCCUGGACAAAGACUGACGCUCAUGCACGAAAGCGUGGGGAGCAAACAGGAUUAGAUACCCCAGUAGUCCCUGUCUCUUAUAC
This 301-nucleotide ribosomal RNA is filed under the name uncultured bacterium. Its description in RNAcentral is "partial 16S ribosomal RNA". It matches the Rfam family "Bacterial small subunit ribosomal RNA", at positions 509 to 807 of the family's 1533-position model. The record is from RNAcentral.